Molecule: ribosomal RNA, 252 nt
Filed under: uncultured prokaryote
Description: partial 16S rRNA
Rfam family: Archaeal small subunit ribosomal RNA
Source: RNAcentral
ACCGGCAGCUCAAGUGGUGGCCAUUAUUAUUUUUCCUCCCUCCUUCCCCCCCGGUUUGCUCCUUCUCUCCCAAAAUCCCUCAUCUUAACUGUGGUACUUGCUGGAGAUACUAUCAGACUUGAGGUCGGGAGAGGUUAGGGGUACUCCCAGGGUAGGGGUGAAAUCCUAUAAUCCUGGGAGGACCACCUGUGGCGAAGGCGCCUAACUGGAACGAACCUGACGGUGAGUAACGAAAGCCAGGGGCGCGAACCG